RNAcentral lists this small RNA (376 nucleotides) under Arabidopsis thaliana (thale cress). RNAcentral describes it as "ATSL174530". The record is from RNAcentral. Lineage: Eukaryota; Viridiplantae; Streptophyta; Magnoliopsida; Brassicales; Brassicaceae.
AUGAUUUUCGUUUGUCCAUCUAGGAAGUACUCGAUUUAAAGUUUAGAACUAAUUUAAACAAUCAUUGUUUUGAUAAGGUUAAGUAUUUGAAAUCACUUUUAGAUGACUUUGGAAUAGUUUUAGAAGGUUAUAAUCCAGUGAAGUUUAACGAUGCAUCGUUAUUCCUUAACAUAAAUAGAACUCUAACUUAAAUAAAUUUCAUAACAAAAUCAAUAUUUUUAACGAUAAUGUUGGAACAUAAAUUAUAUAGCGCAUACGAUUAUUUAGAGGAAUUUGUAAACUAAAUAUUAAUAUCUUGUUCGAACUCGAAAAUAGCUUACUUUUUUUUCUUCAUAAGUGUUGGCUUUGAUAUAUAACAACAAAGUGUUACAAUAGU